This 1062-nucleotide long non-coding RNA is filed under the name Parus major (Great Tit). RNAcentral describes it as "lncRNA (ENSPMJG00000008763.1)". Lineage: Eukaryota; Metazoa; Chordata; Aves; Passeriformes; Paridae. The record is from RNAcentral.
AAUGUUUAGGUUAUACCCUACCAUUACAUAGGAGAUUCAGGACUUUUCAGGCUAAAGAGGGAAUCUUGAAGCUUCAGUAAAUCAUUAAAGAAUACAUUUAAUCGUAGGGAAUGGGUUAUACAUUCUGUUCUGGCACGGUUACUUUGAGUUUGUUUGGGUUCUUCAGUCUUCUUGCAUUGUUGUUCAAGGUGCCAAAUUAGCAUCAAUAAUAAGAAAACUCUUGCUUCAGUGUCUCUGUCUGCCCCCCACAGGUGAAUGGGAUACCCAUUACCUUAGAAGAAGAGAUGUACCUUUGUUUCCCUACUGAGUUUUGAUCAGAUAUGCACUUGGCCUGAAUGGUUUGAUUGCAGCAGAUGCACAUCCACAUCGCCAGAAGAUCAGCCAGAAAACAUUUAGCUCAUUUCUCCAUUAGUUCUGCCUUCCAGAAACUGCUAGCAAGAGGAUGUUUUCACACAGGAGCAUGAAGGCAGGACAAAACAGUGAAGCUCAAAUGACAGCUCAUGGACUGGUGUCAAAGAAAACAGACCAUGAACAGAUUUACUGACUUAACUGGACUAGCCACAAGGUUGGAAUUAUGUAUGUGCUUCAGUAUCAUGCCAGCAGGAGGUUAUGGGGCUGCACAUGGAAUGUUUGCUGUGAGCUAGGAGCUCCAUGGGGUGGAGAGCAGAGGCAAACACAUUUCUACUGGGUUUUGGAUUUUUGCCACUGAAACUGAAGAGGACCAGAACUCAGACAAUUGACUUCUGAGCAAUCUACCUUAAAAUUACCAUCGUUCCCUUCUCAAUUCCAGUGCAGAUGAUAAACGUCUCUCAAAUCAACACCAGAUACUUCCCUUAAAUCAUACAUAAAUUAAAUUAUUAUAAGGAGUAUGCUUUCUCCCCAAAACACUGAAUUUACUUUCUUUGUUUCUUUUCUUUCUUCCUAAUCUUUUUCUUUCAUGCUCCCAAACCAACUGGCUGAGUUGUCCCCAUGGGCUAUUGAUGGCAUUAAAGUGGACUGUUCAGCAGCUGUGCCCUACUGCCUGCCCUAUUGAUUAGUUUCUCACAUGGCUCUUAAUAGGUU